This 219-nucleotide ribosomal RNA is filed under the name uncultured Streptococcus sp. RNAcentral describes it as "partial 16S ribosomal RNA". It matches the Rfam family "Bacterial small subunit ribosomal RNA", at positions 1164 to 1382 of the family's 1533-position model. Lineage: Bacteria; Bacillati; Bacillota; Bacilli; Lactobacillales; Streptococcaceae. The record is from RNAcentral.
CGGAGGAAGGUGGGGAUGACGUCAAAUCAUCAUGCCCCUUAUGACCUGGGCUACACACGUGCACAAUGGUUGGUACAACGAGUUGCGAGUCGGUGACGGCGAGCUAAUCUCUUAAAGCCAAUCUCAGUUCGGAUUGUAGGCUGCAACUCGCCUACAUGAAGUCGGAAUCGCUAGUAAUCGCGGACUCAGCACGCCGCGGUGAAUACGUUCCCGGGCCUU